RNAcentral lists this ribosomal RNA (282 nucleotides) under Leptostylis cf. longimana P-Dias007. RNAcentral describes it as "partial 16S ribosomal RNA". The record is from RNAcentral. Lineage: Eukaryota; Metazoa; Arthropoda; Malacostraca; Cumacea; Diastylidae.
AUAAUAAUUUGUCUUUUAAUUAGGGGCUUGAAUGAAAGAUUUGACAUAAAAUAACUGUCUUAAUUUUUACUAAAAAAUUCAUUUUUAGUGAAAACUCUAAAAUAAAAAUAGAAGACGAUAAGACCCUUUAAAAUUUUUCUUAAUUUUAAAUUGGACUAGUCAAACCCGAAAUUAAAGAUUAAUUGGGGAGAUUUUUAUAAACUUAUAAAAACUGUAAAGAAAAAAAACACUUAUAUAUGAAUUUUAAGACCUUAAAAGAAGUUUUAAAUUAAAUUACUUUAG